This 856-nucleotide ribosomal RNA is filed under the name uncultured bacterium. RNAcentral describes it as "bacterial SSU rRNA". It matches the Rfam family "Bacterial small subunit ribosomal RNA", at positions 28 to 896 of the family's 1533-position model. The record is from RNAcentral.
GACGAACGCUGGCGGCGUGCUUAACACAUGCAAGUCGAGCGGUAAGGCUCCUUCGGGAGUACACGAGCGGCGAACGGGUGAGUAACACGUGAGCAAUCUGCCCUUCACUUUGGGAUAACCACCGGAAACGGUGGCUAAUACCGAAUACGACCACUUCAGGUAUCUGAUGGUGGUGGAAAGUUCCGGCGGUGGAGGAUGAGCUCGCGGCCUAUCAGCUUGUUGGUGGGGUAAUGGCCUACCAAGGCAACGACGGGUAGCCGGCCUGAGAGGGUGACCGGCCACACUGGGACUGAGACACGGCCCAGACUCCUACGGGAGGCAGCAGUGGGGAAUAUUGGACAAUGGGCGAAAGCCUGAUCCAGCAACGCCGCGUGAGGGAUGACAGCCUUCGGGUUGUAAACCUCUUUCAGUAGGGACGAAGCGCAAGUGACGGUACCUACAGAAGAAGCACCGGCCAACUACGUGCCAGCAGCCGCGGUAAUACGUAGGGUGCGAGCGUUGUCCGGAAUUAUUGGGCGUAAAGGGCUCGUAGGCGGUUUGUCGCGUCGGGAGUGAAAACACGGGGCUUAACCCCGUGCCUGCUUCCGAUACGGGCAGACUAGAGGUAUGCAGGGGAGAACGGAAUUCCUGGUGUAGCGGUGAAAUGCGCAGAUAUCAGGAGGAACACCGGUGGCGAAGGCGGUUCUCUGGGCAUUACCUGACGCUGAGGAGCGAAAGUGUGGGGAGCGAACAGGAUUAGAUACCCUGGUAGUCCACACCGUAAACGUUGGGCGCUAGGUGUGGGACUCAUUCCACGAGUUCCGCGCCGCAGCUAACGCAUUAAGCGCCCCGCCUGGGGAGUACGGCCGCAAGGCUA